Molecule: ribosomal RNA, 481 nt
Filed under: uncultured bacterium
Lineage: Bacteria
Description: bacterial SSU rRNA
Rfam family: Bacterial small subunit ribosomal RNA
Source: RNAcentral
AAUCAACGCUGGCGGCGUGCCUCAGACAUGCAAGUCGAACGAUUAAGACUUCCUUCGGGAAGUGCAUAAAGUGGCGCACGGGUGAGUAACACGUAAGUAAUCUACCCUCGAGUGGGGAAUAACGUUCGGAAACGGACGCUAAUACCGCAUAACGCAGCGGCACCGCAAGGUGACAGUUGUUAAAGGAGCAAUCCGCUUGAGGAGGAGCUUGCGGCAGAUUAGCUAGUUGGUAAGGUAAUGGCUUACCAAGGCUACGAUCUGUAUCCGGUCUAAGAGGACGGUCGGACACACUGACACUGAAUAACGGGUCAGACUCCUACGGGAGGCAGCAGUCGGGAAUUUUGGGCAAUGGGCGAAAGCCUGACCCAGCAACGCCGCGUGAAGGAUGAAGUAUUUCGGUAUGUAAACUUCGAAAGAAUAGGAAGAAUAAAUGACGGUACUAUUUAUAAGCUCCGGCUAACUACGUGCCAGCAGCCGCGGU